Molecule: regulatory RNA element, 125 nt
Rfam family: FMN riboswitch aptamer (RFN element)
About the family: The RFN element is a highly conserved domain that is found frequently in the 5'-untranslated regions of prokaryotic mRNAs that encode for flavin mononucleotide (FMN) biosynthesis and transport proteins.
Source: Rfam
AUGGAACUUCAGGGCAGGGUGUGAUUCCCUACCGGUGGUAAAGCCCACGAGCCGAGGCGUAAGCCAGAGCAUGAUUCGGUGUAAUUCCGAAGCCGACAGUAAAGUCUGGAUGAAAGAAGUGAUAU